UAAUAGAUUAGGCAGGGAGCAUGUCUCCAAGAAAUCAGUUAUUACGUGAGAGAGCUGCCAUACAUGGAAGUAUUUCUCAUGAAUUUGAACUACUCAUAUAGA
Molecule: long non-coding RNA, 102 nt
Organism: Ipomoea nil (Japanese morning glory)
Lineage: Eukaryota; Viridiplantae; Streptophyta; Magnoliopsida; Solanales; Convolvulaceae
Exons: 3
Source: RefSeq, a predicted model, not a curated record